Molecule: long non-coding RNA, 260 nt
Organism: Homarus americanus (American lobster)
Lineage: Eukaryota; Metazoa; Arthropoda; Malacostraca; Decapoda; Nephropidae
Exons: 5
Source: RefSeq, a predicted model, not a curated record
GGUGUAAUGAAUCUAUAUCAAGUGUAUAUGAGGUGGUGUUUGUGCUGAGCAGUGUACAUGAGGUGGUGUUUGUGCUAAGCAGUGUACAUGAGGUGGUGUUUGUGCUAAGCAGUGUACAUGAGGUGGUGUUUGUGCUGAGCAGUGUACAUGAGGUGGUGUUUGUGCUAAGCAGUGUACAUGAGGUGGUGUUUGUGCUGAGCAGUGUACAUGAGGUGGUGUUUGUGCUGAGCAGUGUACAUGAGGUGGUGUUUGUGGAGAGC